RNAcentral lists this ribosomal RNA (253 nucleotides) under uncultured bacterium. RNAcentral describes it as "partial 16S ribosomal RNA". It matches the Rfam family "Bacterial small subunit ribosomal RNA", at positions 524 to 776 of the family's 1533-position model. The record is from RNAcentral.
UACAGAGGGUGCGAGCGUUGUCCGGAAUUACUGGGCGUAAAGAGUGUGUAGGCGGUGUUCUAAGUCUGUUGUGAAAUCUCCCGGCUUAACUGGGAGGGUGCGGCGGAAACUGGAAUGCUAGAGGAUGGGAGAGGUAAGCGGAAUUCCUGGUGUAGCGGUGAAAUGCGUAGAUAUCAGGAGGAACACCUGUGGUGUAGACAGCUUACUGGACCAUUUCUGACGCUGAGACACGAAAGCGUGGGUAGCAAACAGG